GAAGAAGCCAACACGAUGCGUGCCAUAGUGUUGAAGUGCAAAUAGACAAACCAAGAUAAAGCAUGUGAUUGGAACCACUGCAUCUGCACAAAGCUUGUCCUGAUGUUAUUUGACCAAGUCCAUGAACAGUUUGUCCUAAUGUUAUUUGACCAAGUCCAACAUUCCUACAAAAUCUACAAAUAGUCAGAGUAGGAGGACACUAAGCUUAAACUCGUUUUCUCAAAAAGGUGCUUACACUGAUGGUGAGCCUUGGUCAUGGAUAAUUCAAGUCCAGAAACAGCUGAGAAAACUGGACAAAACAAAAA
Molecule: long non-coding RNA, 305 nt
Organism: Cucurbita moschata (crookneck pumpkin)
Lineage: Eukaryota; Viridiplantae; Streptophyta; Magnoliopsida; Cucurbitales; Cucurbitaceae
Exons: 3
Source: RefSeq, a predicted model, not a curated record